CCUACGGGUGGCAGCAGUGAGGAAUAUUGGUCAAUGGGCGCAAGCCUGAACCAGCCAAGUCGCGUGCAGGAUGACGGCCCUAUGGGUUGUAAACCUCUUUUAUCCGGGAACAACGCGCCUUACGUGUAGCGCUUUGAGAGUACCCGAAGAAUAAGCAUCGGCUAACUCCGUGCCAGCAGCCGCGGUAAUACGGAAGGUGCGGGCGUUAUCCGGAUUUAUUGGGUUUAAAGGGUGCGUAGGCGGGAGGUCAAGUGUGCGGUGAAAUGUCCGGGCUCAACCCGAGCCUUGCAGGGGAAACGGGCGUGCUUGAGUGCGCGGGAAGCAGGCGGAAUGCGUGGUGUAGCGGUGAAAUGCAUAGAUAUGACGAAGAACCCCGAUUGCGAAGGCAGCUUGCUGCAGCGGAACUGACGCUGAUGCUCGAAAGCGCGGGUAUCGAACAGGAUUAGAUACCCUGGUAGUC
RNAcentral lists this ribosomal RNA (460 nucleotides) under uncultured bacterium. Its description in RNAcentral is "partial 16S ribosomal RNA". It matches the Rfam family "Bacterial small subunit ribosomal RNA", at positions 338 to 795 of the family's 1533-position model. The record is from RNAcentral.